This 227-nucleotide ribosomal RNA is filed under the name Escherichia coli. RNAcentral describes it as "partial 16S ribosomal RNA". It matches the Rfam family "Bacterial small subunit ribosomal RNA", at positions 1 to 224 of the family's 1533-position model. The record is from RNAcentral. Lineage: Bacteria; Pseudomonadati; Pseudomonadota; Gammaproteobacteria; Enterobacterales; Enterobacteriaceae.
AAAUUGAAGAGUUUGAUCAUGGCUCAGAUUGAACGCUGGCGGCAGGCCUAACACAUGCAAGUCGAACGGUAACAGAAAGCAGCUUGCUGCUUUGCUGACGAGUGGCGGACGGGUGAGUAAUGUCUGGGAAACUGCCUGAUGGAGGGGGAUAACUACUGGAAACGGUAGCUAAUACCGCAUAACGUCGCAAGACCAAAGAGGGGGACCUUCGGGCCUCUUGCCAUCGG